AUGGCGUCUACGGCUGACAACGAGGCCGUCUUCGGAGACGAGUUCGUGGCUGAUGAGAUCCUCGCCCGUCUACCGGCCCGCUGCGCCGUGCGCUGCAUCGGCCUCUCCAAGCGCUUCUGGCAACUCCUCAUAAGCCCAUAUUUCUGGCUUCGCCACCGCCAUCUCGGCGCGCCAGGCCUGGAACUCCCUCAUGCCGCUUGCCUCUACGACAAACGUGAUUACUGCAAGACCACCUACUUCAAUGCCGUCGGCCCCGCGUUCGCCUUCGAGCACACCGUCAACCUCGAGCACGGCAGCUGGUACGCCAACACCUGCAACGGGCUGGUCCUCCUGGCCGCCCGGUCUUCCCUCGACGGCGUCGUUUUCAACCCGGCCACCAAGGAGGAGGUGCGCCUGUCCGUGCCGUCGUUGCCACCGCCGGCGGCUCCCGAGGACGACGACGGCUAUGUGCUACGCCGCUUCUUGGGGUUUGGGUACGCGCCGUCGAGCAAGGUCUACAAGGCUCUCAUCUCGGAGUUCGUAGCUGACGGCGAUAGCACGACAGCAACGUUGAUGGUGGCAUCAUUGGACAGUGUCGGCUGCCAGCAAGUGCCGAGGACGGUGUUCUCAUGCGACAAGGAAAUUCUCAGCGAGCACAGCCUACACACGGCGGACAACAAAGUGUACUUUCUUAUAUACACAUCGUGCUUCACCGACGAGGAGGGACUUGAAGAGUAUGAGACCGAUGCGACAUCCAUGCUUGUUUUCGAUGCCGACGACGAGGUCGUCACAAGCGUUGCUGUCCCGGAAGGGCAACCAAUUCAACCCUGCAACAUGUUACAGAUAGGUGGGCGUCCGUGCAUCUACAUGUGCACGGGCCAAGACAUGGUGCUCUGGUUACUCACUCCCGAUCACCAUUGGGAGAAGGUAUACACUCUGGUCAAGCAAAGCUCUCGGUCACACGAUUAUUUGUUGGGGGCCUGGGACUGCGGAGGUGGCCUUCUGUUUGCUAACUUCAAAAUUACCGGUGCCUACUUGUACAACCUCCACGAGGCCAUUGAUGAGGAAAAGGAAGAAGGCGAUUGCGGCGGCCACCGCAGGCUGGAGGCUGUCUCAUUGAAGAACAAAGACGACAUGCCAGAGCAUUUAAAACAUAUUGGGGAUGUUCCGACAAAUCUAUAUGAUUACCAGCCGACGCUCAUAUCACCAGCGAGUAUCUUCGGCGAUGUUGCCUUCUCAGACCGUUUUGAGGUUACUGUCUUGCCCAAGCAUGAGUUGGAUUGGAUUUUCCUGGAAUUUACGCGGAAGUUAUUCGUAGAGCCGGCGAUGCAAAUGCUCUCUACAUCAGGUGGCAUCUAG
RNAcentral lists this ribosomal RNA (1338 nucleotides) under Triticum aestivum (bread wheat). RNAcentral's name for it is "partial small subunit ribosomal RNA". Lineage: Eukaryota; Viridiplantae; Streptophyta; Magnoliopsida; Poales; Poaceae. The record is from RNAcentral.